This 499-nucleotide ribosomal RNA is filed under the name uncultured Rikenellaceae bacterium. RNAcentral's name for it is "bacterial SSU rRNA". It matches the Rfam family "Bacterial small subunit ribosomal RNA", at positions 903 to 1382 of the family's 1533-position model. The record is from RNAcentral. Lineage: Bacteria; Pseudomonadati; Bacteroidota; Bacteroidia; Bacteroidales; Rikenellaceae.
GCCACGCCGCUCAGAAACUUAAAGGAAUUGACCGGGGCCCGCACAAGCGGAGGACAUGUGGUUUAAUUCGAUGAUACGCGAGGAACCUUACCUGGGCUAGAACGCAUUCGGAAUCAGGCCCGAAAGGCCUGCGCCAGCGAUGGCCGCUUGCGAGGUGCUGCAUGGUUGUCGUCAGCUCGUGCCGUGAGGUGUCGGGUUAAGUCCCAUAACGAGCGCAACCACUACUGCUAGUUGCCAGCGGGUCAUGCCGGGGACUCUAGCGGAACUGCCAGCGUAAGCUGCGAGGAAGGUGGGGAUGACGUCAAAUCAGCACGGCCCUUACGUCCAGGGCUACACACGUGUUACAAUGGCCGGUACAGAGGGCAGCCACCCCGCAAGGGGGCGCGAAUCCCGAAAGCCGGUCCCAGUUCGGAUCGGAGUCUGCAACCCGACUCCGUGAAGCUGGAUUCGCUAGUAAUCGCGCAUCAGCCACGGCGCGGUGAAUACGUUCCCGGGCCUU